Nomascus leucogenys (northern white-cheeked gibbon) is the source of this 474-nucleotide long non-coding RNA. RefSeq annotates it as protein FAM218A. The record is from RefSeq and is a predicted model, not a curated record. Lineage: Eukaryota; Metazoa; Chordata; Mammalia; Primates; Hylobatidae. The transcript has a single exon.
AUGGAAGGAUGCGCGGUGCGGCGGGGCAGCUGUCCUCUUCUCCCCGGACCCAGCGCCUGGAGAGCCAGCCCUGCAGGGUGGGCUGGGCGAGCCAAACUGCGUUCCUGGUGCAGGGCUUCGGGUCUCCCUAACAGACCUUAUACGCUGACCGGCGGCCGCCACGGCAGUGUCUCUUUGCUAAGAGAUCCAGGGACGACCACUCUCGUCCAACAGCGGUCGCUCCACCAAUCCUGGGAGAAGCGAAUCGUUUUCUCAGCGUGCCCUGUCAGCUGCUCAUGGUGCCCAGAGAGGAAUUUUAGUGGCAACAUUCCGGCUGUCACGCCACUGAAAUUGCCAGGCCACUCCAAGUCAGAAGGACCACCAGGAAAAGUCAGGGAGAGAACCACCAUCAGGUCCCAGCCUCUUUUUGUGACAAGGACUAGAGGGUUUGGGUCUGCAGUGGGCUGGCUCCCGCUGGGCUCACCUGUCCUGUAG